Molecule: long non-coding RNA, 2397 nt
Filed under: Strigops habroptila (Kakapo)
Lineage: Eukaryota; Metazoa; Chordata; Aves; Psittaciformes; Psittacidae
Description: lncRNA (ENSSHBG00005020864.1)
Source: RNAcentral
AAAUGGUGUUUAAAGCAAUGUAGAAUUCACCACCUUUACUCCUGAAGAUCUACAGUACAUGAAGGGUUUACCAGCUCUGGUUUUGUGGCUUAACCCAACAACAGAAGACAUGUAAGUAGCCCUUUGAAAUAUUUGUUUUGUUGAAAGAUGAUUACUUAAUUUGACAGCUACCCUCCAAGCAUUCAAUCAGUUAGAUCAAAGACACAUGGGGUUUUUUUAGAGACCGAAGACAGAAUACAAGUUUUUAUUGUUAAGAUAGCUGUCUUACUGCAGAAAUGAGAACUGAGGAGAAAAUAUAGAAAACAGGUUAGCAGCUUUUAACCAUAUAACUGGAGUGUCUCACUGGUUACCCUUCUUCCACCAAAUUUGUGAUAAGCCUAACAGAUCACCCAAGGCUGCCUUCACCCAGCCCUGACCAUUCCAUUUUCCCACCUCAUUUCUUAGCAUUUGUGCAAAUGUAUCACAAGUUCCGCCCCUGGCAGCCUAACUUCUAUUUUCUACCUGUCUAUUUCUACCCUCUGACAUAUCUAUGAGAAUACAGAAUUUCUGCACUUUGAUUUUUCACAGAAACUUCAUCCCAAACCCAACCUUAAGUUUUAAACCCUUAGUUCCCUUAUGAUUCAGAUUAAGUUCAUCUCCUCUGGACAGAUAUUCCUGGAACCUCCUGGGCAGUUUCCCUCAGGUAUCAUAUUUCUAAAUGUAUUACCUGUUUUAGCACCGGCAUCUCUUUGCUGUCAGCUUUUAGUAUUAUUUAUGCGCUCAAAAAAAGCACAAGUCUCAUCUAUAUUUAACAUGACAUUUUAAUAGGCAAGUAAAACCAGUAAUUCUCAGCAAGUCUUUUGAUGUGUGAAAUUUACUCAACCAAAAUAUAAUACGUGAAGCAAUCUUAAAUCUAUUUUACUGCUUCUGUACUAACAUUCAGAAAUCUUUUUUAUUUAAAUCUGAUAAUUGAAGAAAACCUGAAUAAGAUAUCCCAAAUAUCUACAAACUCCUGAAACAGAUAUAAUUUGUUUGGCUUUGCCUUCUCAAAGAAAGAUAAGAAUCUGUGUAAGUAUAUAAAAAUCCUCCAUCAGCAAGAAAACAAAAAACAGAUUCAAUAUCCUCAUCCAAAAGAAUAUAAUCCACUUCAUAAUUUCCUGCCUCUAGAGCUAAUGAAGAAACAAAUACCUGACAGAAGAUAGUUAUAACAUAUAUAUAUAACCACUAUAUAUAUAGUGUAUAUAUACAUAACCACUACUGGAAGAUAGGUCAACACAGCGUCAGUGCAAACGGUCUGAGUAUAGAUGUGAUGCAGAAUAGGAUUUUAUGGAAAGCUCUGCACAUUUUCCAGUUUUAGGAUAUAAGCCAAUGCUUGUUAAGUCCAGCAAGAGAGCUUCCUCUAACUUCAAGGGGCAUUGAAUCAGUUCUUAAUGUAAAAAAGCCAAUUACUGCAACAAUGCACUAGAUUUACUCUUUACAACUCACAGUGAUCAAAAAAUCUAGUUUCACUGCUUGCUACUAGGCUAUUAAUGACAACUUACAUAGGCCCCCAAAUGCUGUUUUUCUUUUAAUAGGCCAUGUUAAAUAUUUCCAUUCUGGAAAGCAUGCCAUUUUGGCAGUAGACCCUCAUGCGUGCAGAGCACUAGAACAAAGUAGCAGUAAAUGUUCCUUACACACUAAAUACAUAGAAAUAUUGAUAUGUAUUUCUAAAUACAUAUAUGUAUAUUCUAAAUCCCAGCAGCUAGAAUAUAGGUGGAAGCAAACAACUUGAAAAAAAAAAAAGAAAAUAAAAAUAUGUCAGACUGAAUAAAAGGUUGUGGUGAGCAGUGGCAACAUUGGAAAAUAGUUCAAUAACCAUAACAUUCAUGUUUUAAGCAUCUCAUAUAUGAAGUGUUGUUUGAACUUUGUUGUUGGAGAACUAUUGGGAGAGUGUCUCAUACAAAAUUUGUGUCAUGAACCUAAACAAAUUAUUUUUUCCUUUCUUCAAUGUGAGCUUUACUCACUACAGAUGUUCUCUUUCUCCAAACUUAUUAUUUUUAAUGAAAUAAUUAUAUUGCCAUGGGCUUUAUGACAUCAUACUUGGUUUUACAUCGAAAACAAUAAUUGUUUUUGUUAUUGAUUUCACAGCAACCAGAAAGCUAAGUGUAAAAGAAUAGUUAAUUUAAAACCCAAAACCAUCUUAGUAAUAAAAGGUGAACUUAGGAAAGGACUCAUUAAGUACAAUUGGUUUUUUCACACAAUCUUUUAUUGAUUAAAUUUGGUUCCAGCAUAAAGUUUUGUCUCAAUAGACAUUCCGUCCUGGUGCUCUAACACCCUGGGAGACUGCUCCAAGAUUACAUGAAGCCCAACACUUCGAAGCAGCUAAUUCCAUUUCAGGUUAGUAUUUAUCAAAUGCAGUAUACUACUCACUUUUAAAUG